CGGGUUCGAGGUUAUUAGCUACCCUUUGAUGGAGAGAGCCUUUGAAAGCAACGGCCCCAGAAGCGCGGCCCCCCUCGCCGCGGCCAAAUCCGGCUUUGCGCGGGCAGACUCGCCAGUCCCCGAGGGGCAGCCGGGGUCUGGAGGAGGAUCAGACGGCACGGGGCUCGGAAGGGGCACCCCCAGCUACCUGGAUGUCUACUGCUUUCUGGUGGACGAGGGGCAGCGGCAUCGUACACGGCACACCACAAACAUUCAACCCUGGCAGUGGGGUGAGCCGCCCUGUGGAAUGUCACAGCGAUGGAACAAGAUAAUUAAUCGUUUAUUUGCUGUCCAGCUAAAACAGCGCCAGUGCACCAUGUGUAGGAUGUUUGGUUGUCAAGGAGACCAUCUUCAAUAUGUAAACAAGCCUUGCAGCAUUUAUGAAGGCACGGCCUUGUAAUGUAGUGGUUCCUAGUUAAAGGAAGGGACCUGCUCUCGUACCAUUGAGCAGGGUAGUUAUGCUGAAUUGCUCCGGUAAAAUACUGUGCUGUACCAAUAGGUAAAACUGCGAGGGAUUUUGGGUUAUGCUCCCAAGUUACGUGUGGUUACUUUGAAUGUUCGGUCAAGAGCACGUAGAAAAUAUUCUAUAUUUUAUACAGUAAAAGAGGUAAUUAGAGGCAGAAAAGUGAAGGAUAUUAACUGUUCCCAUAAAGUUCCCUCAGCAUUUCUUUAAUUAGAGAAAAUUUAAAGAAAACUAAUUAAAUAUAUCAUUAAAAGAAUAUUACUUUGAUAUUCAGUAGUUUGCAGCCACUUUUUAGAACCACUUUUAAGAGUAAAAAAAAAUCAUAAAAAUUAGACCUAAUAGUACCGCA
This 851-nucleotide long non-coding RNA is filed under the name Scleropages formosus (Asian bonytongue). Its description in RNAcentral is "lncRNA (ENSSFOG00015029259.1)". The record is from RNAcentral. Lineage: Eukaryota; Metazoa; Chordata; Actinopteri; Osteoglossiformes; Osteoglossidae.